This 534-nucleotide ribosomal RNA is filed under the name uncultured bacterium. RNAcentral's name for it is "bacterial SSU rRNA". It matches the Rfam family "Bacterial small subunit ribosomal RNA", at positions 1 to 524 of the family's 1533-position model. The record is from RNAcentral.
GCUAUUUAGGUUAGAGUUUGAUCAUGGCUCAGGACGAACGCUGGCGGCGUGCUUUACACAUGCAAGUCGAACGGUGAACCGGUGCUUGCACCGGGGAUCAGUGGCGAACGGGUGAGUAACACGUGAGCAAUCUGCCCCGAACUCUGGGAUAACUGCGGGAAACCGCAGCUAAUACCGGAUACGACCCAAGGAGGCAUCUCCAUUGGGUGGAAAGUUUUUCGGUUCGGGAUGAGCUCGCGGCCUAUCAGCUUGUUGGUGGGGUAAUGGCCCACCAAGGCGACGACGGGUAGCCGGCCUGAGAGGGCGACCGGCCACACUGGGACUGAGACACGGCCCAGACUCCUACGGGAGGCAGCAGUGGGGAAUAUUGCACAAUGGGCGAAAGCCUGAUGCAGCGACGCCGCGUGAGGGACGAAGGCCUUCGGGUUGUAAACCGCUUUCAGGAGGGACGAAGCCACUCGGGUUAAUAGCCCAGAGGGUGACGGUACCUCCAGAAGAAGCCCCGGCUAACUACGUGCCAGCAGCCGCGGUAAU